This 372-nucleotide ribosomal RNA is filed under the name uncultured organism. Its description in RNAcentral is "bacterial SSU rRNA". It matches the Rfam family "Bacterial small subunit ribosomal RNA", at positions 526 to 896 of the family's 1533-position model. The record is from RNAcentral.
CGUAGGGGGCAAGCGUUGUCCGGAUUUAUUGGGCGUAAAGAGCGUGUAGGCGGCCAGAUAGGUCAGCUGUGAAAACUCGAGGCUCAACCUCGAGAUGUCGGCUGAAACCAUCUGGCUAGAGUCCGGAAGAGGAGAAUGGAAUUCCCGGUGUAGCGGUGAAAUGCGCAGAUAUCGGGAAGAACACCCGUGGCGAAGGCGGUUCCCUGGGACGGUACUGACGCUGAGACGCGAAAGCGUGGGGAGCGAACAGGAUUAGAUACCCUGGUAGUCCACGCCGUAAACGAUGGGAACUAGGUGUGGGCGGUGUCGACUCCGUCCGUGCCGAAGCUAACGCAUUAAGUUCCCCGCCUGGGGAGUACGGCCGCAAGGCUA